This 497-nucleotide ribosomal RNA is filed under the name uncultured bacterium. Its description in RNAcentral is "partial 16S ribosomal RNA". It matches the Rfam family "Bacterial small subunit ribosomal RNA", at positions 28 to 507 of the family's 1533-position model. The record is from RNAcentral.
GAUGAACGCUGGCGGCGUGCCUAAUACAUGCAAGUCGAGCGAACAGACGAGGAGCUUGCUCCUCUGACGUUAGCGGCGGACGGGUGAGUAACACGUGGAUAACCUACCUAUAAGACUGGGAUAACUUCGGGAAACCGGAGCUAAUACCGGAUAAUAUAUUGAACCGCAUGGUUCAAUAGUGAAAGACGGUUUUGCUGUCACUUAUAGAUGGAUCCGCGCCGCAUUAGUUAGUUGGUAAGGUAACGGCUUACCAAGGCGACGAUGCGUAGCCGACCUGAGAGGGUGAUCGGCCACACUGGAACUGAGACACGGUCCAGACUCCUACGGGAGGCAGCAGUAGGGAAUCUUCCGCAAAGGGCGAAAGCCUGACGGAGCAACGCCGCGUGAGUGAUGAAGGUCUUCGGAUCGUAAAACUCUGUUAUUAGGGAAGAACAAAUGUGUAAGUAACUAUGCACGUCUUGACGGUACCUAAUCAGAAAGCCACGGCUAACUACGUG